RNAcentral lists this long non-coding RNA (670 nucleotides) under Prunus persica (peach). RNAcentral describes it as "long non-coding RNA (PPER_LNC006362)". The record is from RNAcentral. Lineage: Eukaryota; Viridiplantae; Streptophyta; Magnoliopsida; Rosales; Rosaceae.
UGGAGUCUUUGGAGGUCACUAUUUUGUGACUUGGAGAAAAAGAAGAAAGUGGAUUCUACCACCAUCCUUUUGGUGGAAUACUUAGGUCAGGCUCAAGUUGUGCUAUAAGAGUGAGUUCCCCUCCAUCUUUCUCUUCUUACUUUCUUGCAAAGUAGUUAAUGUAGCAAAUCAACCCUCUUGAGGUUUCUUGCAAAGUUUUCUUGUAACAUUGUGUUUGUCAAUUAAUUUAUUGAUCACAAAUAUAUUUUCUAAUGCUUUUCAAUUUGUGUAAUCUUUUUUUCUUUUUCUUUUUUUUUUAUUAAUUUUUUUUUUUUUGGGUAAGGAUGAUCUUUGAAUUAAAGCAUAGAUGGCUUGGAUUAUAAUAUUUGUAGUGAACUUUAUAAGGUGUCCAUCAAAAAUAGUUAUUUAAGGAAUCCAUCGAUAGGGGAUUGAUAUAGUCAAUAUUUUCAUUCUAUAAUUAAAAAAAACAAAAAUUGAAAAAAGAAAAAGAAAAUCAAUUGGCAGCGUGUGCCAAUGGGCUAAUAUAUAGUUAAUCAAUAAGUGAUAAUUAACUUAGGGCUCGUUUGGUACGUCGGACUGUACUGACUAAUUUCUGUCGGAUAGUAUUAAUCUGUUCCGGAGAGUACUGACUAUUUAUCGAUAAUAUUAUAAGGCGUUUGGUGUUGUUCCG